RNAcentral lists this ribosomal RNA (484 nucleotides) under uncultured bacterium. Its description in RNAcentral is "partial 16S ribosomal RNA". It matches the Rfam family "Bacterial small subunit ribosomal RNA", at positions 28 to 507 of the family's 1533-position model. The record is from RNAcentral.
AUUGAACGCUGGCGGCAUGCUUUACACAUGCAAGUCGAACGGCAGCGCGGGCUUCGGCCUGGCGGCGAGUGGCGAACGGGUGAGUAAUGCAUCGGAACGUGCCCAGUAGUGGGGGAUAGCCCGGCGAAAGCCGGAUUAAUACCGCAUACGACCUGAGGGUGAAAGCGGGGGACCGAAAGGCCUCGCGCUAUUGGAGCGGCCGAUGUCGGAUUAGCUAGUUGGUGGGGUAAAGGCUUACCAAGGCGACGAUCCGUAGCUGGUCUGAGAGGACGACCAGCCACACUGGGACUGAGACACGGCCCAGACUCCUACGGGAGGCGGCAGUGGGGAAUUUCGGACAAUGGGGGCAACCCUGAUCCAGCCAUGCCGCGUGCGAGAAGAAGGCCUUCGGGUUGUAAACCGCUUUUGUUCGGGAAGAAAUCCUCUGGGCUAAUACCCCGGGGGGAUGACGGUACCGGAAGAAUAAGCACCGGCUAACUACGUG